This 442-nucleotide ribosomal RNA is filed under the name uncultured bacterium. Its description in RNAcentral is "partial 16S ribosomal RNA". It matches the Rfam family "Bacterial small subunit ribosomal RNA", at positions 338 to 795 of the family's 1533-position model. The record is from RNAcentral.
CCUACGGGGGGCAGCAGUAGGGAAUCUUUCACAAUGGGCGAAAGCCUGAUGGAGCAACGCCGCGUGCAGGAUGAAGGCCUUCGGGUUGUAAACUGCUUUUAUCAGCGAGAAAUAUGAUGGUAACUUAUGAAUAAGGAUCGGCUAACUACGUGCCAGCAGCCGCGGUCAUACGUAGGAUCCGAGCAUUAUCCGGAGUGACUGGGUGUAAAGAGUUGCGUAGGUGGCAUAAUAAGUUGCUAGUGAAAUCUGGUGGCUCAACCAUUCAGACUAUUAGCUAAACUGUUAAGCUCGAGACCGUUAGGGGUAACUGGAAUUUCUAGUGUAGGAGUGAAAUCCGUAGAUAUUAGAAGGAACACCAAUAGCGUAGGCAGGUUGCUGGGACGGUUCUGACACUAAGGCACGAAAGCGUAGGGAGCAAACGGGAUUAGAUACCCGAGUAGUC